UGGGUGAUCUGCCCUGCACUUUGGGAUAAGCCUGGGAAACUGGGUCUAAUACCGAAUACACCUUGCUGGCUGCAUGGCCUGGUGGGGGAAAGCUUUUGCGGUGUGGGAUGGGCCCGCGGCCUAUCAGCUUGUUGGUGGGGUGAUGGCCUACCGAGGCGACGACGGGUAGCCGGCCUGAGAGGGUGUCCGGCCACACUGGGACUGAGAUACGGCCCAGACUCCUACGGGAGCA
This 232-nucleotide ribosomal RNA is filed under the name uncultured bacterium. RNAcentral's name for it is "partial 16S ribosomal RNA". It matches the Rfam family "Bacterial small subunit ribosomal RNA", at positions 118 to 347 of the family's 1533-position model. The record is from RNAcentral.